Paragonimus heterotremus is the source of this 71-nucleotide non-coding RNA. NCBI's taxonomy places the organism in Eukaryota, Metazoa, Platyhelminthes, Trematoda, Plagiorchiida, Troglotrematidae. The record is from the annotation of a GenBank genome assembly.
GCCAGUGGCGCAGUGGUGAACACGGUUGUCUCAUGAACAGCGUGGCCCUGGUUCCAGUCCAGGCAUUGGUG